Molecule: ribosomal RNA, 442 nt
Filed under: uncultured bacterium
Lineage: Bacteria
Description: bacterial SSU rRNA
Rfam family: Bacterial small subunit ribosomal RNA
Source: RNAcentral
AACGCGAAGAACCUUACCUGGGCUCGAAAUGUAGUGGAAUCCGGUAGAAAUACCGGCGUCUAGCAAUAGACUGCUAUAUAGGUGCUGCAUGGCUGUCGUCAGCUCGUGUCGUGAGAUGUUGGGUUAAGUCCCGCAACGAGCGCAACCCUUAUCCCUAGUUGCCAUCGGGUCAAGCCGGGCACUCUAGUGAAACCGCCUGGGAUAACCAGGAGGAAGGUGGGGAUGACGUCAAGUCCUCAUGGCCUUUAUGUCCAGGGCUACACACGUGCUACAAUGGUCGGUACAAACCGUCGCAAACUCGCGAGAGGGAGCUAAUCGGAAAAAGCCGGCCUCAGUUCGGAUUGGAGUCUGCAACCCGACUCCAUGAAGCUGGAAUCGCUAGUAAUGGCGCAUCAGCUACGGCGCCGUGAAUACGUUCCCGGGCCUUGUACACACCGCAUAC